CAUCUUUUGGUUUUUCCUUAUACUUAAACCAGUAACAUUCCACGUUUUCAUUAGAAUGAGGUGGAAUAGUUCAGGUAAAACAAGAACUGGCCAGAGCUUUUUAUACCUUUCUCUGAAAUUAACUGUUUCGAGGUAUAAAAGUUACCCUUUUUUCCAAAGGCAGCAGGCAGCAGUGCUGUGCUCUUCAUGAGGGGCUGUGGCAGUGGAUUCUCCACUUGGGCUGUGAGUCUGAACCAUCUCUCCAGUGGCAGCAGGAUCUGUUAGUCAUGGAUCACCCCAGCAGCAGCUGCCUGAACCCUCUCUAGUUAGACAUGGCAGUCUGCAGCUUGUUGCCACAGUAUUGCAUGGGAGGAUGGUAUAUUUGUACAUGGAGGUCACAGAAGCCCUUAGGAUAAUUCAGGUAUUCGCAAGGAUCUCACUGAUAAUGGAAAUGUCUAUAUGUCUUUCAUGGCUGAUAAUUACAGAAGUGAAAGGAAAAGAAAAGGUA
This 487-nucleotide long non-coding RNA is filed under the name Struthio camelus australis. RNAcentral's name for it is "lncRNA (ENSSCUG00000000639.1)". Lineage: Eukaryota; Metazoa; Chordata; Aves; Struthioniformes; Struthionidae. The record is from RNAcentral.